ACUUAAUUGUUCGGGCAUUGCAUGAGCUUGUCAUUGAACCUUUUCCAUAACUCAUAUAAGGGCUCACCACCAAGUUAAGAAAAAUUUAUGAUUUCAUCUCUUAGUU
Capsicum annuum is the source of this 106-nucleotide non-coding RNA. The record is from Rfam. NCBI's taxonomy places the organism in Eukaryota, Viridiplantae, Streptophyta, Magnoliopsida, Solanales, Solanaceae.